This 73-nucleotide transfer RNA is filed under the name Chloroflexota bacterium. RNAcentral describes it as "Chloroflexi bacterium (anaerobic digester metagenome) tRNA-Arg". It matches the Rfam family "tRNA". Rfam says of the family: Transfer RNA (tRNA) molecules are approximately 80 nucleotides in length. Their secondary structure includes four short double-helical elements and three loops (D, anti-codon, and T loops). The record is from RNAcentral. RNAcentral also lists the same sequence under 1 other name. Lineage: Bacteria; Bacillati; Chloroflexota.
GCCCCAGUAGCUCAGCGGAUAGAGCAGCUGCCUUCUAAGCAGCUGGCCCCAGGUUCGAUUCCUGGCUGGGGCG